AGCUACUUCGAGACAGCUUAUUAAUUAGAGCACACCCGUCUCUGUUGCAAAAGAGUGGGAAGAUCUCCAAGUAGUAGUGACAAACCUAUCGAGUCUGGUUAUAGCUGGUUGCUCGGUAGAUGAAUAUAAGUUCAGCCCCCAGGCAUCUACAACCCAAAAAAGGCCCCGCCUAUUACAGACCAAAGAAGCCCGAGGAGUUAGUCAAAAGAGGUCCAGCUCUUUUGACAAAAGAGUCAACUUUAAGGUGAGGAUAGGAAUCAUAAUACAAAAGGGCAGUACCAAAGUGGGCCUAAAAGCAGCCA
This 302-nucleotide ribosomal RNA is filed under the name Gobiesox strumosus (skilletfish). RNAcentral's name for it is "partial large subunit ribosomal RNA". It matches the Rfam family "Bacterial large subunit ribosomal RNA", at positions 728 to 1118 of the family's 2925-position model. Lineage: Eukaryota; Metazoa; Chordata; Actinopteri; Blenniiformes; Gobiesocidae. The record is from RNAcentral.